Molecule: ribosomal RNA, 249 nt
Filed under: Propionibacteriaceae bacterium
Lineage: Bacteria; Bacillati; Actinomycetota; Actinomycetes; Propionibacteriales; Propionibacteriaceae
Description: partial 23S ribosomal RNA
Rfam family: Bacterial large subunit ribosomal RNA
Source: RNAcentral
CUUAGUACGAGAGGACCGGGACGGACUAACCUCUGGUGUGCCAGUUGUUUACCAAAAACACGGCUGGUUGGCUACGUUGGGAAGUGAUAACCGCUGAAAGCAUCUAAGUGGGAAGCACGCUUCAAGAUGAGGGUUCCCUCACCGUUAAGGUGGUAAGGUCCCCGGUAGACCACCGGGUUGAUAGGUCGGACGUGGAAGUGCAGUAAUGCAUGGAGCUGACCGAUACUAAUAGACCGAGGGCUUGUUUCU